CGUAACAAGGUCUCCGUUGGUGAACCAGCGGAGGGAUCAUUACCGAGUUUACAACUCCCAAACCCAAUGUGAACGUUACCAAACUGUUGCCUCGGCGGGGUCACGCCCCGGGUGCGUCGCAGCCCCGGAACCAGGCGCCCGCCGGAGGAACCAACCAAACUCUUUCUGUAGUCCCCUCGCGGACGUAUUUCUUACAGCUCUGAGCAAAAAUUCAAAAUGAAUCAAAACUUUCAACAACGGAUCUCUUGGUUCUGGCAUCGAUGAAGAACGCAGCGAAAUGCGAUAAGUAAUGUGAAUUGCAGAAUUCAGUGAAUCAUCGAAUCUUUGAACGCACAUUGCGCCCGCCAGUAUUCUGGCGGGCAUGCCUGUCCGAGCGUCAUUUCAACCCUCGAACCCCUCCGGGGGAUCGGCGUUGGGGAUCGGGACCCCUCACACGGGUGCCGGCCCCGAAAUACAGUGGCGGUCUCGCCGCAGCCUCUCCUGCGCAGUAGUUUGCACAACUCGCACCGGGAGCGCGGCGCGUCCACGUCCGUAAAACACCCAACUUUCUGAAAUGUUGACCUCGGAUCA
This 570-nucleotide ribosomal RNA is filed under the name Trichoderma asperellum. RNAcentral describes it as "eukaryotic LSU rRNA". The stretch from base 226 to 379 matches the Rfam family "5.8S ribosomal RNA". The record is from RNAcentral. Lineage: Eukaryota; Fungi; Ascomycota; Sordariomycetes; Hypocreales; Hypocreaceae.